ACAGAUACAUUGUCUGACUUCUGCAGGAGGCAACUUUUGAUGGUGAGAACACAGGUACAUCGACAUCUCUAAAGUUUGCCGUUAGGGUCUGCAUUUUUGACAUCUGGUCUCUCUCUCUCUCUCUCUCUCUUUACUUUUGCUGUAACAAUGAAUCAAUGAUUGCUUCAAAGACUCAUUUGGGUUGGUGCACGAAUCCUGGUGAGGAACCUAUAAAAAAUUUUAAUAUAUAUUGCAAAUGUUAUAAUAUUUAAGUGCUAAAUUUUAACAUAGA
RNAcentral lists this unclassified non-coding RNA (271 nucleotides) under Hevea brasiliensis (rubber tree). The record is from RNAcentral. Lineage: Eukaryota; Viridiplantae; Streptophyta; Magnoliopsida; Malpighiales; Euphorbiaceae.